This 385-nucleotide ribosomal RNA is filed under the name uncultured bacterium. RNAcentral's name for it is "bacterial SSU rRNA". It matches the Rfam family "Bacterial small subunit ribosomal RNA", at positions 30 to 413 of the family's 1533-position model. The record is from RNAcentral.
AUUGAACGCUGGCGGAAUGCUUUACACAUGCAAGUCGAACGGCAGCACGGGAGCUUGCUCCUGGUGGCGAGUGGCGAACGGGUGAGUAAUAUAUCGGAACGUAUCCAAUAAUGGGGGAUAACUAAUCGAAAGGUUGGCUAAUACCGCAUACGCCCUGAGGGGGAAAGCUGGGGAUCUUCGGACCUAGCGUUAAUGGAGCGGCCGAUAUCAGAUUAGCUAGUUGGUGGGGUAAAAGCCUACCAAGGCGACGAUCUGUAGCUGGUCUGAGAGGACGACCAGCCACACUGGAACUGAGACACGGUCCAGACUCCUACGGGAGGCAGCAGUGGGGAAUUUUGGACAAUGGGCGCAAGCCUGAUCCAGCCAUUCCGCGUGAGUGAAGAAG